UUUCCAAAGACAAUCCUUUUACAAUGAGCCUUACCACAUCGAAACACUUAAUGCUAUUAGUUGGUCCAGAAUUGUUACUUACAAAUCUCUUGUUUGAACCCUCAGUAUUUUUACUAUUCGGAUCUUGAGAUUCAUUUGAUCUAUUUCUUUUCUUUUAAUUUUUUCUUUUCUGCACAUUCUUCAUUGACCUUUCUUUCAAUUAUUAAUGCUUUAUUUACCACAUCUAUAUAAAUAGAUAAUUUAUAUGGUAUCACUUGUUUCUUAUUCUAUCUUUAGUCCCAUCUCAAAUAUAUGCACUCAAUUAUGCUCAUCCUCAACUAGUCUCGGAACAAAUUUGGCAAGCUUCGUAAACUUAGCUUCAUAUUCUGCAACCUUCAUAGUUCUUUAUUUUAGAUAAAUAAAUUUUUGUUCUUUCUGAAUCCUUACACUUUGAGAAAAAUACUGAUCAUAAAUAUCCUUCGAAAUCUCUCCUAGGUGAGUCGCUCCCUUUCUUGCUCAUAUUUAUAUUACAGUCUUUAAUACCAAUUGAAUGCUUCACAUUGUAAUAAUAAGCUGCAUAUUGAAUCUUUUCAUUAUCGCGGCACUCUUGGAUAGCGAAUGCCUUUCCAUCUCCAUAAUCCAAUUAUCAGCUUUCAAGAUUCAGUGGUCCCCUUGAAGGUUGUUGGAGCAAUCUUUUAAAUUUGUGAUAUUGUUUCACUACACCGGUUGUUCUCCAAGACUAUACUGUUGUGGUGUAUCUCGAUAUAUCUAUUACUGUUCAAGCAAUUACUACUGCCUUUGUAUUAUCCUAACUAGAGUUUGCAUUAAUUGAGCCAUAUCUAGUUCCGAUGCACUGUCGAAGUAGUCCCGAUCGGAUCAACCACUCCCUCCUGUUGGGGGGUGUCACUAAUCGAUUGAGAAGUACCACCUUCCUAUUGAUUUGAUGUCUCUCUAAUAGCUUCUCGAGCAAUUCUCUUUAUUCCAUGUGGAGCCAUUUUAACAAGCUUCUCAAAAUUUUUUUUUUAAAUCUAACAUCCAAAAUAUUUAAUCAUGUUCAAUCUUUUUUUUUGAAUAAAAUCCUAAAUUCUUAUAGGACCGGCUAUUCGAUAGUUAACGAUUACGAUUCUUUAUCAGGAUCUAUCAAAAUCAUUAGAGGAUCUUUCUAAGAAUCCAUUAAAACCUUAGAAGAGAGAGACCAUCCAGAGAGAGAUACUUUUAGAGAGAAAAUCAUAUUUUCUUUAGAGAGAGAAACUAGAGAGAGAAAGUGGAGAGAGAAAGUCAAACUUUUUUGAGAGAGAAAGUGAAAGUCUAAGAAGAGAGAAGGGAGAGAGGGAAGAGAGAGAAUAUCUCGCUCUUUUUCUUCUCAUUUUCUUUCUUUCUUUUCUUUUCUUUUUUUCCUCUUUCUUUCUUCCCGUUCUUAACAAUCGGUCCCUCUUGUUCUUGGGUCACAGGCCAUGACUGGUGGCCGGUGGCCAGGGGUAGUUGGUGCAGCUGCACCGUAGCCCAUUCAUCUCAGAUUAGUGCAGGUCGAUGAUGACCACCGGCAUCAGAAAAAUCUCAAAGAAAAAGGGGGCAGAACAUGGGAAAAGAGUAGGAGAUUUGUUUCCUUAAUUUUUUCGAUGAACCGCCGAUCGAAGAUGCUAUCUAAUGUCAUGAGAAGAAGAGCAAAAGAGAGACAAAGGAGGGUCAAUGCUAUCUUGGGCUCCGACGGCCUAUCUAGCUUGAUUUUUGAUAAUCAUGGUAAGGGCUUCCAUGAAGAAAUUUCUAGCAUUCCUCACUAGAUUGAGCCUCGAAUCUUGAUGGAAGGAAGAGGGAAGAUCCCUCCCCUUUAGAUAGGGCCAAAGGGGAGGAGUUCCACUUCUCUCCAUGGAGGAUUUCUGACUCCGUUGAGGAGUCAUUCAUGAAAGAAGACUCCUUAUGGGAGUCUUCCUCAAAUUUUUUUUUCUUUUUUUUAUUGCUUCAAGAAUCAUGCUUUGGGUGGGUAUUGUAGAUGGAGAUUGGCCCUUGAGUGCAAAGUAAAAGAUGUUUGAUUGCAACACCUACCCAUCGAGCAUGGAUGAAAGUCGACCUUAGUGAUCCAACAGUGCGAAGUAAAAACACUGCCGCUUAGUAGAUAAAAGUUACUCUAGGAAUAAUGGGUUGAUCUUCCCCAAGAGUUGCAUUGAUGGAAAGAUUUGGUACCUUGAUGUUAGCUCUUCGCCACUUGGGGCUAUAAUAUAUUCCAAAGGUUGGGAUGUUCACUGAUUAAAGCAAUACAUGAGUUGGGUUUAUAACAUUGUGAGGUAGUUCGAUCCAUAUCCGAUACGGGCUUAGAGCAUUGAGAGGACUUUUUCCUAGUAUCAAAGGAUGGGGAAGAAUGCACCUCUGAUGUAUCGAUAAUCAUGUCCUUGGUAAAUAUUGGGUAGCCAAGUGUGGAGCGGAUAACUACUAAAGGCCUCUAAGCAGUAGACAAGAUGAUUGCUCUCCUAUUCUGACUUUCCCAGAGCCUCCAGUAACAUAGCCGAGAUAGCGAUGGAUUUUGCUCUGUGGGGAUGAAGCGAUAGAAGUAUUGAGAAUCCAAGAUAAGAUUAUGACGAGACGAGCCAUUUAUCAUUACGAUAGGU
This 2582-nucleotide ribosomal RNA is filed under the name Elaeis oleifera (American oil palm). Its description in RNAcentral is "bacterial LSU rRNA". The stretch from base 1642 to 2504 matches the Rfam family "Bacterial large subunit ribosomal RNA". The record is from RNAcentral. Lineage: Eukaryota; Viridiplantae; Streptophyta; Magnoliopsida; Arecales; Arecaceae.